RNAcentral lists this ribosomal RNA (258 nucleotides) under uncultured bacterium. RNAcentral's name for it is "partial small subunit ribosomal RNA". It matches the Rfam family "Bacterial small subunit ribosomal RNA", at positions 26 to 290 of the family's 1533-position model. The record is from RNAcentral.
AGGACGAACGCUGGCGGCGUGCUUAACACAUGCAAGUCGAGCGGAAAGGCCCUUCGGGGUACUCGAGCGGCGAACGGGUGAGUAACACGUGAGCAACCUGCCCUUAGCUCCGGGAUAGCUCCGGGAAACCGGAAUUAAUACCGGAUACAACCCCGGCCGACAUCGGCCGGUGUGGAAAGAAUUUCGGCUAGGGAUGGACUCGCGGCCUAUCAGCUUGUUGGUGGGUAACGGCCUACCAAGGCGACGACGGGUAGCCGG